ACGGGGUGCAGCAGGCGCGAAACCUCCACAAUGUACGAGAGUGCGAUGGGGGGAUCCCAAGUGCUAUUCCUAACGGGAUAGCUUUUCUUAAGUGUAAAAAGCUUUUGGAAUAAGAGCUGGGCAAGACCGGUGCCAGCCGCCGCGGUAACACCGGCAGCUCUAGUGGUAACAAUUUUUAUUGGGCCUAAAGCGUCCGUAGCCGGUUUAAUAAGUCUCUGGUGAAAUCCUGUAGCUUAACUGUGGGAAUUGCUGGCGAUACUGUUGAACUUGAGGUCGGGAGAGGUUAGCGGUACUCCCAGGGUAGAGGUGAAAUUCUGUAAUCCUGGGAGGACCACCUGUGGCGAAGGCGGCUAACUGGAACGAACCUGACGGUGAGGGACGAAAGCCAGGGGCGCGAACCGGAUUAGAUACCCGGGUAGUCCCAGCCGUAAACGAUGCGCGUUAGGUGUAUCGGUGACCACGAGUCACCGAGGUGCCGAAGAGAAAUCGUGAAACGUGCCGCCUGGGAAGUACGGUCGCAAGGCUGAAACUUAAAGGAAUUGGCGGGGGAGCAC
Molecule: ribosomal RNA, 554 nt
Filed under: uncultured archaeon
Lineage: Archaea
Description: bacterial SSU rRNA
Rfam family: Archaeal small subunit ribosomal RNA
Source: RNAcentral